Molecule: ribosomal RNA, 459 nt
Filed under: uncultured bacterium
Lineage: Bacteria
Description: partial 16S ribosomal RNA
Rfam family: Bacterial small subunit ribosomal RNA
Source: RNAcentral
AACGAACGCUGGCGGCAGGCCUAACACAUGCAAGUCGAACGAGAAGCCACCUUCGGGUGGUGGACAGUGGCAGACGGGUGAGUAACGCUUGGGAACGUGCCUUUCGGUUCGGGAUAACCCAGGGAAACUUGGGCUAAUACCGGAUACGCCCUUCGGGGGAAAGAUUCAUUGCCGAAAGAUCGGCCCGCGUCGGAUUAGCCAGUUGGUAGGGUAAUGGCCUACCAAGGCGACGAUCCGUAGCUGGUCUGAGAGGAUGACCAGCCACACUGGGACUGAGACACGGCCCAGACUCCUACGGGAGGCAGCAGUGGGGAAUAUUGGACAAUGGGCGAAAGCCUGAUCCAGCCAUGCCGCGUGGGUGAAGAAGGCCUUAGGGUUGUAAACCCCUUUCAGCGGGGAAGAUAAUGACGGUACCCGCAGAAGAAGUCCCGGCUAACUCCGUGCCAGCAGCCGCGGUAA